AUAAGUAUAUUUCACAUAUAUAAUUUUGGUACUCAAAUAUAGCUUCUAUCGUGACAUAUUCGUCCAUUCUUGCCAUGAUUGAUUGAAUAUUGCUUGAUAAUCAUCAAAAAGGAUCAUUUACUAGUCUUUGGUCUAUCUUGCAGAAAUGUGCGCAAAGGCACUAAUAAUCGUCAAGAUUCCGUCUAUGUGGCUAUCGAGAAGAGUGAAGAAGAGAAGAGAAGGAAGAAGAGACUUGUGUGAGAUGAAGAGAAGUAACCAGGGGGCUAGGUAAAGAAGUGGGAGGACCUCCUUGUGAAGAAAGAAGAGAAGAAAGAGGGCCAAAUCACAAAGUGCAGAUGAGAGGAGGGGAACAAAAUCCCUAGGGGCUGGAGGGAUCCGAUCGGGCCUGGCCAUAUCUCCAUCUCUCUUCUCCCCCACCACUUCUUCCACCUCAGGCCGCUGCCACGGCCAGGCCGGCGUGGUGGUGCGCCUCUGCAGCCCAGCCACCACCAUCUCCAUCCAUCUCCGCUGCGCCACCAUCCACAUCAGCGCCGCUGCGCCACCCAUCACCAGCACCAACACCCAGCGCCACCCAGCACCUCCACACGCUCCACACCGCCGCCAUCCAUCACCACCGCACCACUGAACACCUCCGCGCAAGAGUUUCCCUGCUGCCGUCCUUCUUCCCUUGCCUCUGCUGCUGCUCUUGCUUGCGCCCCUGUGCUGCUGCCUUUCUUCUCCCCUUGCUACUGCUCCCCUUUUCUAGCGCCUCAACCUGCUGCUCCUUCGCCUGCUGCUAGUCCCUUUCCCCACUCCUCUGCUGCUCCUCCUCUUAAAACUGCUGCUGCUCUUCUUUCCCACGUUCCUGCUCUGCACUCUGCUUCUCACCUCCGUUGCUGCUGUUUCUCUUCUGAACCUCUGCUACUGUUCAGCUCUGAACCUCUGCAUCUGUGUUGAAUGUGCUUUCAGUGUUCUUGAGAUGUGUAAACUGUUCAAUAUUCAGCUUACAAUUUGUAAAACUUUUGUGAUUCAGUGGUGUCUCUAUGUUAUACAUAUAGCUUGUGUACUGCUUGCUGCAGUAAAUUUCAGUUUGUAAGUUCCUGUGAUAGCUCCAGUACAUGUGACUUUUAUGUUGUCUCAAGUUCCUGUUAUAUAUAUACAUAUGUGUGUGUCUGUGAUGUGAUACAUUUAUGUUCUGUCCUACAACCUUAUUGUGUUAGCAUUUUAUUUCUCAUGUAAAACGAAAAUACCAAAAAUAUUAUUGAAGAUAAUCUGAACCUCCUUUGACCUUUUUGCAUUUUCUUUGGUGACGAUCUUUGGGUACAACCUUGUUUAGUGUAGGUUUUUUUUCUUGCAUUCAUAAUCUGAAUUGUGUUACCUAGCUUUAGCCAAGCACCGUCAUCGAUUUGCCUAGUCCCUGAUGAGAACACGACACUCGUAGUUUGGGGCGUAAAAACCCAGCUAUAUUACAAUUGAUCAUUUUGGCGCCGUUGCCGGGGACUAGCGUCGAGCGAUUGUGCGAAGCUAUAGACUAGGCUUAGUAUAGUUUUUGUUUAAAUUUCCAGUCAAAUUUAUUUCUGUGCUUCUUUUACCUUUUUACUUUUUGUUGCUUCGGCUUAUUAGGAUACUAACCCUCUCACCAAUGUUUCAUGUUUGUGAGCGUGUGUAGGAUAUCUUAUUAUUUGUAGGCUGAUUGACAGUUGCACCUGAACAUAUGGCUUUAGUACAUGAUCUUUGGUUGCCAAGUAGUUUGGACACGAUGACAGGGCCAAUUUGGCCAUCUAUUGAGGCCAAAAUUUUUGAGUUGAGGCCUGGACUUAUUGCUCUCGUCUUGCAGAAUCAGUUUAGAGGAUUACCCAAUGAAGACCCUCAUGAGCACAUUAGUAAUGUUCUGGAGUAUGCCAAUACAGUCCAGUAUCAUGGCGUUUCCCAAGAUACUAUCAAGUGUAUGUUGUUCACAUUCUCUCUCAGAGAUGCUGCUAAGGACUGGUACUAUUCUUUGCCAUCAAGAUCAUACACUUGGGGUGAUAUUUCACAAGCUUUCCUGCAUAGAUAUUUUCCACUUUACAAGCAAGCUGCAAUUCGUGACCAGAUCCUCAGUUUUGCGCAAGAUGGUAGUGAGAGCUUGUAUGCAGCUUGGGAGAGAUAUAAGUAUUUGCUUAGAAAAUGUCCUAAUCAUGGGCAAAAGGAUUGGUUAGUGCUUCAGAUAUUCUAUAGAGGGCUGACACAUGCUUCAAGAGAUCUUAUUGAUAUGUCAGCUGGUGGAACAAUCAUGAACAAGACCGUCGAGGGUGCAAUUAUUCUCAUUGAGAGCAUUGCCUUCCACCAAAUGCAAUGGGGUUAUGAAAGGCCUAGUUCAAAUCCGAAGGUUGCAAGCCUCGUGCAAUCAGAAGUUGUGUGUUCCAUAAGUGAACAGAAAUCAUCCAUGGUGCCUAAUAUUCAAAACCAGCAUGUUUCAUUCCGGGGACAACAACAUUUCAGAACUGAAUUAGAUCCUCCAUAUAGAACGAUUGAUCUUACUUCAAUUAUCCUUGAUGAUGAUUAUGAUAUUUUUCAAGAUGAUGAAACUACUGUAGAUCAGAUGGAAACCACAGUAGCAGAUCCAAUACCUCAUGGCAAUGAAACUGUCCAGAAUGAGUCAAAGCUGAAAGAAGAUGUUUAUGAGGAACCUACUCUGAUUGAUGCUAAGUUGAGACAACAAGAUAUGGAGAAAUUCACUUGUGUUAGUCAACUAUGUGACUGGUGGAAUUUAGUCGUGUCACCAAUUGCCCACACUUGUGUUACAACGGUAUCUGGGCUAUUUGUCAAGAAGAAAUCAUUAGCUCCACCGGUGGUUGCCUCUAUCACAGUUAAAGAGAGUAUCUCAGAGAAGAAUAGUGAAGAUGAGAUUCCAACUCCUGCACAUACAACUAAGCAAGUCGGAGCCAUUCCAAGGAGAGAGAUACAAGAGGUUGAGUCAAAUUUAGAAGAGUUGAUACUUCAAUAUCCUGAGAAGAUCCCACGUGUUGCUGAGCUGCAUGACUGGUGGAAGUCAUCAGUGUCACUGUUGAGACUUAGUAGUGAUGGUGAUGAGGAGAACAUUGCUCAGAAAGACAGCGAGGUAGUGAUCUCAACACCCCUACCAGAUCAUGUUAGUGAAUAUUCACAUAUGGGGACACUUCAGACUCAAUUAAGUGUUGCUGGUAGUAGCACCAUAGAAGAUCCAGAGGAAGAGAGUCCUCAACUUGAAGAAGAUUUACAAGAAGACAAGGAACAAGAUGAUCAAGAGCUGCAAUUUCCAAGUGAUCAAGUUGAAGACUCAUCAUCUACUACUCCUGAAGAAGUACAAGAAGCUGUUGUAGAUGAAGAUGAAGAACCUGAGAUUCAUUGGCCUAUUGUCAUACAUGAGCGCGAUGUGUCAGGUUUACCCAAUCCUCUUGAUGACAUGCUCCCUUGUGAUUUCUUUGCUUCUAACUUGCAUUGCAUGAUGCCAUCACUUAAGGUAGAUUUGAAAAACUAUUUGCUUGGACAUGAUCAUACACACCCUGUUAGUGGCAUUACUCUCAUUUGUGAUGAUCACAGUUACUUUCCUCGUGCUAGUUCUAUGCUUAAUGAAACAUAUCAUUCCCAUGUUAGUCUUGAGCUUAAUGAUAAAUAUCAUCCUCAUGUUAGCAUUGAGCUUACUGAUUUGUACCAUCCUAAACAUGUGCUUUAUAGCUAUGCUUAUGUAAUUGGGUACUCUAUAGAUGAUUUAGAGGGCAUUACCCUUGUCACUUGUAUUGUUUCCUUGGUUGAGUGCUCUUUCAGGUUGUUGCUUGUGCACGAUCCACUACAUGCUGACCAAGUCCGAGAUGACAUUCCCUGGGACCCCGGUGGACCCAUGGCAUGGGGAUGAGGAGAAGCAAGGAGCACACAUGAAGAGAGAAGCUGGAGCAGGCAUGAGGAUAGAGAAGCAAAAAGAGAAGAGCUGCAGCUUAGAGAGUCAUCAAGCGAGUGCUACUUCAUAGUGCCCGGUUAGCUGUUUCAUGACCCAUUCUGAGUAUAUCAUCCAUUGAUGCUUGCUGAAUUAAAUUGCUAUUUGGGUUGCUUGUGCCAUUUCUUAAAUGUUGUCCCACUGAAUUUCACCUUUGACAUGUGGUGCUUGAUGAGAAUAUGCGAACUAAUUGUUGAAUGCCUUGUAACUAGUGAUCUACACCCUGUUUGCUCUGCUAAAAGUAGUGAAAGCUAUUAGUUCUGAGUGCUCAAAUCCCUAGUACACUAGAAAACUAAAUCAUUUUCUGCAUUUACUAUGAUACACCUAGAUCACCAUGUUUAGAUGCUGAAUUUGUGCCAAGUGUGUUCCCAUUGAGAGCAAUCACCUAACUACUAUGGAAUAUCAUGCUAUGUUCCCUGGAUCGGUAGCAUGUGAACCAGACAUGGAGAAGUGAUGAUUCCUAUUUUUGUGCUUAUGCAUUGUUCAUUUAAGAUAAGUAAUAAUGAAUAAAUUAGUCUGACUACCUACAGUAGCAUGUCAUGUUCUUGGGAUCGGUGGCAUGUGAAAUCGGGUUAGCUUGGGCAGUAAUUAUUAUAAAAAUGUAAUUGUCGAACCAGGUGUAUACCAUGUUCUCGGGAUCGGUGGUAUGUUCCUUUGGGGAGACAAACAAGAAAACUAUAUAAUUGGUCAAGCCGGGUGUAUACCAUGUUCUCGGGAUCGGUGGUAUGUUCCUUUGGUGAGAUCAAUAAAAUAUUAUCAUUACUUCCUUCAAAUUCAAUAAGUGGUUCAACCACAAAGUUAUAUUUCUGCAAAUAAGAGAUUUAAUUCCAGUUCUUUUUGUUCUCGGGAUCAUGCUCUCUUUAGGAAUCAUUUGGCGCAAUCAUCAUUUAAACUUGUUGGUCCUCUUUUAUCAUUGUAAAAGUUUAAAAUGGUCAUGCUUACCAGUAUCCUACUGCUUUGUAGCACUCUUAACCAUCAAUUUUCACUAGCUAAGUCCAAAAGCAUGCAUUGUUUAGAGAUCUACUUCACUUGGACAUUCUUUACUCAGUUCACUGUUCACAUUCUUGCUCUUGUCAUAUGCCUUUGCUUGAGGACAAGCAAAGAUUUAAGUGUGGGGGAACUUGAUAAGUAUAUUUCACAUAUAUAAUUUUGGUACUCAAAUAUAGCUUCUAUCGUGACAUAUUCGUCCAUUCUUGCCAUGAUUGNNNNNNNNNNNNNNNNNNNNNNNNNNNNNNNNNNCAUUACUUCCUUCAAAUUCAAUAAGUGGUUCAACAACAAAGUUAUAUUUCUGCAAAUAAGAGAUUUAAUUCCAGUUCUUUUUGUUCUCGGGAUCAUGCUCUCUUUAGGAAUCAUUUGGCGCAAUCAUCAUUUAAACUUGUUGGUCCUCUUUUAUCAUUGUAAAAGUUUAAAAUGGUCAUGCUUACCAGUAUCCUACUGCUUUGUAGCACUCUUAACCAUCAAUUUUCACUAGCUAAGUCCAAAAGCAUGCAUUGUUUAGAGAUCUACUUCACUUGGACAUUCUUUACUCAGUUCACUGUUCACAUUCUUGCUCUUGUCAUAUGCCUUUGCUUGAGGACAAGCAAAGAUUUAAGUGUGGGGGAACUUGAUAAGUAUAUUUCACAUAUAUAAUUUUGGUACUCAAAUAUAGCUUCUAUCGUGACAUAUUCGUCCAUUCUUGCCAUGAUUGAUUGAAUAUUGCUUGAUAAUCAUCAAAAAGGAUCAUUUACUAGUCUUUGGUCUAUCUUGCAGAAAUGUGCACAAAGGCACUAAUAAUCGUCAAGAUUCCGUCUAUGUGGCUAUCGAGAAGAGUGAAGAAGAGAAGAGAAGGAAGAAGAGACUUGUGUGAGAUGAAGAGAAGUAACCAGGGGGCUAGGUAAAGAAGUGGGAGGACCUUCUUGUGAAGAAAGAAGAGAAGAAAGAGGGCCAAAUCACAAAGUGCAGAUGAGAGGAGGGGAACAAAAUCCCUAGGCACUGGAGGGAUCCGAUCGGGCCUGGCCAUAUCUCCAUCUCUCUUCUCCCCCACCAGUUCUUCCACCUUAGGCCGCUGUCUCGGCCAGGCCGGCGUGGUGGUGCGCCUCUGCAGCCCAGCCACCACCAUCUCCAUCCAUCUCCGCUGCGCCACCAUCCACAUCAGCGCCCUGCGCCAUCCAUCACCAGCACCAACACCCAGCGCCACCCAGCACCUCCACACGCUCCACACCGCCGCCAUCCAUCACCACCGCACCACUGAACACCUCAGCGCGAGAGUUUCCCUGUUGCCGUCCUUCUUCCCUUGCCUCUGCUGCUGCUCUUGCUUGCGCCCCUGUGCUGCUGCCUUUCUUCUCCCCUUGCUACUGCUCCCCUUUUCUAGCGCCUCAACCUGCUGCUCCUUCUCCUCCGCCUGCUGCUAGUCCCUUUCCCACGCCUCUGCUGCUCCUCCUCUUAAAACUGCUGCUGCUCUUCUUUCCCACGUUCCUGCUAUGAACUCUGCUUCUCACCUCCGUUGCUGCUGUUUCUCUUCUGAACCUCUGCUACUGUUCAGCUCUGAACCUCUGCAUCUGUGUUGAAUGUUCUUUCAGUGUUCUUGAGAUGUGUAAAACUGUUCAAUAUUCAGCUUACAAUUUGUGAAACUUUUGUGAUUCAGUGGUGUCUCUAUGUUAUACAUAUAGCUUGUGUACUGCUUGCUGCAGUAAAUUUCAGUUUGUAAGUUCCUGUGAUAGCUCCAGUACAUGUGACUUUUAUGUUGUCUCAAGUUCCUGUUAUAUAUAUACAUAUGUGUGUGUCUGUGAUGUGAUACAUUUAUGUUCUAUCCUACAACCUUAUUGUGUUAGCAUUUUAUUUCUCAUGUAAAACGAAAAUACCAAAAAUAUUAUUGAAGAUAAUCUGAACCUCCUUUGCCCUUUUUGCAUUUUCU
RNAcentral lists this long non-coding RNA (6824 nucleotides) under Triticum aestivum (bread wheat). RNAcentral describes it as "long non-coding RNA (TAES_LNC007807)". Lineage: Eukaryota; Viridiplantae; Streptophyta; Magnoliopsida; Poales; Poaceae. The record is from RNAcentral.